Molecule: non-coding RNA, 29 nt
Filed under: Rattus norvegicus (Norway rat)
Lineage: Eukaryota; Metazoa; Chordata; Mammalia; Rodentia; Muridae
Source: RNAcentral
UAGGGUCUUAUGGUUGCAUUCAUAUCUUG